CUACGGGCUGCUCCAGUGGGGAAUAUUGCACAAUGGGCGCAAGCCUGAUGCAGCCAUGCCGCGUGUAUGAAGAAGGCCUUCGGGUUGUAAAGUACUUUCAGCGGGGAGGAAGGGAGUAAAGUUAAUACCUUUGCUCAUUGACGUUACCCGCAGAAGAAGCACCGGCUAACUCCGUGCCAGCAGCCGCGGUAAUACGGAGGGUGCAAGCGUUGAUCGGAAUUACUGGGCGUAAAGUGCACGCAGGCGGUUUGUUAAGUCAGAUGUGGAAUCCCCGGGCUCAACCUGGGAACUGCAUCUGAUACUGGCAAGCUUGAGUCUCGUAGAGGGGGGUAGAAUUCCAGGUGUAGCGGUGAAAUGCGUAGAGAUCUGGAGGAAUACCGGUGGCGAAGGCGGCCCCCUGGACGAAGACUGACGCUCAGGUGCGAAAGCGUGGGGAGCAAACAGGAUUAGAUACCCUCGUAGUC
Molecule: ribosomal RNA, 464 nt
Filed under: uncultured bacterium
Lineage: Bacteria
Description: partial 16S ribosomal RNA
Rfam family: Bacterial small subunit ribosomal RNA
Source: RNAcentral